GAUGAACGCUGGCGGCGUGCCUAAUACAUGCAAGUCGAGCGAACAGACGAGGAGCUUGCUCCUCUGACGUUAGCGGCGGACGGGUGAGUAACACGUGGAUAACCUACCUAUAAGACUGGGAUAACUUCGGGAAACCGGAGCUAAUACCGGAUAAUAUAUUGAACCGCAUGGUUCAAUAGUGAAAGACGGUUUUGCUGUCACUUAUAGAUGGAUCCGCGCCGCAUUAGCUAGUUGGUAAGGUGACGGCUUACCAAGGCAACGAUGCGUAGCCGACCUGAGAGGGUGAUCGGCCACACUGGAACUGAGACACGGUCCAGACUCCUACGGGAGGCAGCAGUAGGGAAUCUUCCGCAAUGGGCGAAAGGCUGACGGAGCAACGACGCGUGAGUGAUGAAGGUCUUCGGAUCGUAAAACUCUGUUAUUAGGGAAGAACAAAUGUGUAAGUAACUAUGCACGUCUUGACGGUACCUAAUCAGAAAGCCACGGCUAACUACGUG
Molecule: ribosomal RNA, 497 nt
Filed under: uncultured bacterium
Lineage: Bacteria
Description: partial 16S ribosomal RNA
Rfam family: Bacterial small subunit ribosomal RNA
Source: RNAcentral